This 334-nucleotide unclassified non-coding RNA is filed under the name soil metagenome. RNAcentral describes it as "partial contains 5.8S ribosomal RNA, internal transcribed spacer 2, and large subunit ribosomal RNA". The stretch from base 1 to 120 matches the Rfam family "5.8S ribosomal RNA", at positions 35 to 154 of the family's 154-position model. The record is from RNAcentral.
GAUGAAGAACGCAGCGAAAUGCGAUAAGUAAUGUGAAUUGCAGAAUUCAGUGAAUCAUCGAAUCUUUGAACGCACAUUGCGCCCGCCAGUAUUCUGGCGGGCAUGCCUGUUCGAGCGUCAUUUCAACCAUCAAGCCCCCGGAUUGUGUUGGGGACCUGCGGCUGCCGCAGGCCCUGAAAACCAGUGGCGGGCUCGCUAGUCACUCCGAGCGUAGUAAUACAUCUCGCUCAGGGCGUGCUGCGGGUUCCGGCCGUUAAAAGCCUUAUUUACCAAAGGUUGACCUCGGAUCAGGUAGGAAGACCCGCUGAACUUAAGCAUAUCAAUAAGCGGAGGA